Molecule: non-coding RNA, 529 nt
Organism: Schizosaccharomyces pombe (fission yeast)
Lineage: Eukaryota; Fungi; Ascomycota; Schizosaccharomycetes; Schizosaccharomycetales; Schizosaccharomycetaceae
Source: the annotation of a GenBank genome assembly
CUUUAAACGCUACACAACAAAUUCUAAGUCUGCUGGUCUCUUUAGCAAAAAGCAUAUUAGAUCAUUAAUUCAGACGGUAUCAAUUAUAAAAACGGUCACUCAUUUCUUAAACGUCAGCCUAAAUCUGUUUUAUUAAUUUUAUGCAAGUAAAUACACCACUUUAUUUUUAAUAAGGGUUGGAGCACGAAAUAAAUGUAAAGAAACAACCCAAUUUCUGAAUUAUCAGGUCAUUUUAUCCAAAGUCUGCUAUGGUCAAUUACAGAAAACACAUUGAAUGCUUACCUCUAUCAUUAUAACGGAAUUUCCACGAAUGGCGACCGAGCCAAUUUUUACUUUUUCACCGUCAACUUUCUCUUCAAUGGAAUCUUCUAAUACUAUAUUCAAAAAGAUCUAAUAAAAGUUAGAUAUUUUUUUUUUUUACAUUUAGCAACAUACAUCAUAACCACGAAGAACACCGUAAACUUUUCGAGAUCCAUUUAGCUGAACAAAUACCUGUCUAUCUAGGUACUAUAACCAUGAAUUAGAAUUU